This 365-nucleotide unclassified non-coding RNA is filed under the name soil metagenome. RNAcentral's name for it is "partial contains 5.8S ribosomal RNA, internal transcribed spacer 2, and large subunit ribosomal RNA". The stretch from base 1 to 120 matches the Rfam family "5.8S ribosomal RNA", at positions 35 to 154 of the family's 154-position model. The record is from RNAcentral.
GAUGAAGAACGUAGCGAAAUGCGAUAAGUAAUGUGAAUUGCAGAAUUUAGUGAAUCAUCGAAUCUUUGAACGCACAUUGCGCCCGCCAGCAUUCUGGCGGGCAUGCCUGUUCGAGCGUCAUUUCAACCCUCGCAGCCCAUCUGGGCAGCGGUGUUGGGGACCGGCACCACCGGCGAAGCCCUUAGGGGCCCAGCCGGCGCCGCCCCCGAAAUACAGUGGCGGUCUCGCUGCAGCCUCCCUUGCGUAGUAGCACACCUCGCACCGGAGCGCAGCGCGGCCACGCCGUAAAACCCCCGACUUUCUGAGUUUGACCUCGAAUCAGGUAGGAAUACCCGCUGAACUUAAGCAUAUCAAUAAGCGGAGGA